RNAcentral lists this ribosomal RNA (500 nucleotides) under uncultured bacterium. RNAcentral's name for it is "bacterial SSU rRNA". It matches the Rfam family "Bacterial small subunit ribosomal RNA", at positions 28 to 507 of the family's 1533-position model. The record is from RNAcentral.
GACGAACGCUGGCGGCGUGCCUAAUACAUGCAAGUCGAGCGGAAUGAUGAAGAAGCUUGCUUCUUCUGAUUUUAGCGGCGGACGGGUGAGUAACACGUGGGCAACCUACCUUGUAGAUUGGGAUAACUCCGGGAAACCGGGGCUAAUACCGAAUAAUCCAUUUUGCUUCAUGGCAAGAUGUUAAAAGGCGGCUUCGGCUGUCACUACGAGAUGGGCCCGCGGCGCAUUAGCUAGUUGGUAGGGUAAUGGCCUACCAAGGCGACGAUGCGUAGCCGACCUGAGAGGGUGAUCGGCCACACUGGGACUGAGACACGGCCCAGACUCCUACGGGAGGCAGCAGUAGGGAAUCUUCCACAAUGGACGAAAGUCUGAUGGAGCAACGCCGCGUGAGUGAAGAAGGUUUUCGGAUCGUAAAACUCUGUUGUAAGGGAAGAACACGUACGAGAGUAACUGCUCGUACCUUGACGGUACCUUAUUAGAAAGCCACGGCUAACUACGUG